RNAcentral lists this ribosomal RNA (1128 nucleotides) under Enterococcus faecium. RNAcentral describes it as "bacterial SSU rRNA". It matches the Rfam family "Bacterial small subunit ribosomal RNA", at positions 26 to 1130 of the family's 1533-position model. Lineage: Bacteria; Bacillati; Bacillota; Bacilli; Lactobacillales; Enterococcaceae. The record is from RNAcentral.
GGGACUUGGCGGCGUGCUAUACAUGCAAGUCGAACGCUUCUUUUUCCACCGGAGCUUGCUCCACCGGAAAAAGAGGAGUGGCGAACGGGUGAGUAACACGUGGGUAACCUGCCCAUCAGAAGGGGAUAACACUUGGAAACAGGUGCUAAUACCGUAUAACAAUCGAAACCGCAUGGUUUUGAUUUGAAAGGCGCUUUCGGGUGUCGCUGAUGGAUGGACCCGCGGUGCAUUAGCUAGUUGGUGAGGUAACGGCUCACCAAGGCCACGAUGCAUAGCCGACCUGAGAGGGUGAUCGGCCACAUUGGGACUGAGACACGGCCCAAACUCCUACGGGAGGCAGCAGUAGGGAAUCUUCGGCAAUGGACGAAAGUCUGACCGAGCAACGCCGCGUGAGUGAAGAAGGUUUUCGGAUCGUAAAACUCUGUUGUUAGAGAAGAACAAGGAUGAGAGUAACUGUUCAUCCCUUGACGGUAUCUAACCAGAAAGCCACGGCUAACUACGUGCCAGCAGCCGCGGUAAUACGUAGGUGGCAAGCGUUGUCCGGAUUUAUUGGGCGUAAAGCGAGCGCAGGCGGUUUCUUAAGUCUGAUGUGAAAGCCCCCGGCUCAACCGGGGAGGGUCAUUGGAAACUGGGAGACUUGAGUGCAGAAGAGGAGAGUGGAAUUCCAUGUGUAGCGGUGAAAUGCGUAGAUAUAUGGAGGAACACCAGUGGCGAAGGCGGCUCUCUGGUCUGUAACUGACGCUGAGGCUCGAAAGCGUGGGGAGCAAACAGGAUUAGAUACCCUGGUAGUCCACGCCGUAAACGAUGAGUGCUAAGUGUUGGAGGGUUUCCGCCCUUCAGUGCUGCAGCUAACGCAUUAAGCACUCCGCCUGGGGAGUACGACCGCAAGGUUGAAACUCAAAGGAAUUGACGGGGGCCCGCACAAGCGGUGGAGCAUGUGGUUUAAUUCGAAGCAACGCGAAGAACCUUACCAGGUCUUGACAUCCUUUGACCACUCUAGAGAUAGAGCUUUCUGUUUCGGGGGCAAAGUGACAGGUGGUGCAUGGUUGUCGUCAGCUCGUGUCGUGAGAUGUUGGGUUAAGUCCCGCAACGAGCGCAACCCUUAUUGUUAGUUGCCAUCAUUCAGUG